AACGCACCUUGCGCCCCUUGGUAUUCCGAGGGGCACACCCGUUUGAGUGUCGUGAAAAUCUCAACCUUCUCGGUUUCUUCUGGAAACCAAGGGAGGCUUGGACUUUGGAGGCCUUUGCUGGUGUCUCUCUCUUUUGAGAGCCCAGCUCCUCUUAAAUGAAUUAGCGGGGUCCUCUUUGCUGGUCCUCGACAUGUGAUAAGAUGUUUCCAUGUCUUGGUUUCUGGCUCUGUUGCUUUUGGGACCCGCUUCUAACCGUCUCGACGAGACAACGUUUGAGCACGUCUCCCGACGCUCUCAACCUCACGAACCCUUGACCUCAAAUCGGGUGAGACUACCCGCUGAACUUAA
This 348-nucleotide unclassified non-coding RNA is filed under the name uncultured Lactarius. RNAcentral describes it as "sequence contains ITS2". Lineage: Eukaryota; Fungi; Basidiomycota; Agaricomycetes; Russulales; Russulaceae. The record is from RNAcentral.